RNAcentral lists this ribosomal RNA (744 nucleotides) under uncultured organism. Its description in RNAcentral is "bacterial SSU rRNA". It matches the Rfam family "Bacterial small subunit ribosomal RNA", at positions 55 to 819 of the family's 1533-position model. The record is from RNAcentral.
AUGCAAGUCGAACGAUUCCUGUAUCUUCGGAUACAGGGAGUGGCAAACGGCUGAGUAACGCGUAGGAACCUACCCCAAACUCGAGUAUAGCCCCGCGAAAGCGGGGGUAAUCCUCGAUAGCCCGUGAAGUAUUUUACUUCACGGUAAAGCUUUUGCGGUUUGGGAUGGGCCUGCGUCCUAUCAGGUAGUUGGUGAGGUAAAUGCUCACCAAGCCUAUGACGGGUAGCUGGUCUGAGAGGAUGGUCAGCCAGACUGGGGCUGCGACACGGCCCAGACUCCUACGGGAGGCAGCAACUAGGAAUUGUGCGCAAUGGACGAAAGUCUGACGCCGCGACAUCGCGUGGAGGAUGAAGGUCUUCGGAUUGUAAACUCCUUUUCUUACCGAACAAGUUCUGAGUGUAGGUAAGGAAUAAGUGCCUGCUAACCACGUGCCAGAAGCAUCGGUAAUACGUGGGGCACGAGCGUUAUCCGGAUUUACUGGGCGUAAAGAGAAGCGUAGGCGGCUCGAUAAGUUUGGUGUUAAAUCUUCCGGCUCAACCGGAAACAAGCACCGAAAACUAUCGAGAUUGAGUCGAGUAGGGAAGAGGGGAACUCCUGGUGGAGCGGUUAAAUGCGUAGAUAUCAGGAGGAAUACCAAGGGCGAAGGCACCCCUUUGGACUCGUACUGACGCUGAGGCUCGAAAGCGUGGGUAGCAAAACGGAUUAGAUACCCGUGUAGUCCACGCCGUAAACGAUCCCUGUUAG